UAGCAUAUCAAUAAGCGGAGGAAAAGAAACCAACAGGGAUUGCCUCAGUAACGGCGAGUGAAGCGGCAAAAGCUCAAAUUUGAAAUCUGGCUCCAUGCGGAGCCCGAGUUGUAAUUUGGAGAGGACACUUCGGGUGCGGCCACGGCAUAAGUUCCUUGGAACAGGACGUCAUAGAGGGUGAGAAUCCCGUCUUUGGCUGCUGGACCGCGCCCAUGCGAAGUUCCUUCGACGAGUCGAGUUGUUUGGGAAUGCAGCUCUAAGUGGGUGGUAAAUUUCAUCUAAAGCUAAAUAUUGGCCGGAGACCGAUAGCGCACAAGUAGAGUGAUCGAAAGGUUAAAAGCACCUUGAAAAGGGAGUUAAAUAGCACGUGAAAUUGUUGAAAGGGAAGCGCUUGCAACCAGACUCGGUCGUGGGGGCUCAGCGGGCAUGCGUGCCCGUGUACUCCCCCAUGCUCCGGGCCAGCAUCAGUUCUGGCGGUUGGUUAAAGGCCUCUGGAAUGUAUCGUCCUCCGGGACGUCUUAUAGCCAGGGGCGCAAUGCGGCCAGCCGGGACUGAGGAACGCGCUUCGGCACGGAUGCUGGCAUAAUGGUUGUAAGCGGCCCGUCUUGAAACACGGACCAAGGAGUCUAACAUCCACGCGAGUGUUCGGGUGUCAAACCCGUGCGCGCAGUGAAAGCGAACGGAGGUGGGAGCCCGCAAGGGUGCACCAUCGACCGAUCCUGAAGUCUUCGGAUGGAUUUGAGUAAGAGCGUGGCUGUUGGGACCCGAAAGAUGGUGAACUAUGCCUGAAUAGGGUGAAGCCAGAGGAAACUCUGGUAGAGGCUCGCAGCGGUUCUGACGUGCAAAUCGAUCGUCAAAUUUGGGUAUAGGGGCGAAAGACUAAUCGAACCAUCUGGUAGCUGGUUCCUGCCGAAGU
Molecule: ribosomal RNA, 916 nt
Filed under: Coccidioides immitis
Lineage: Eukaryota; Fungi; Ascomycota; Eurotiomycetes; Onygenales; Onygenaceae
Description: LSU rRNA
Rfam family: Eukaryotic large subunit ribosomal RNA
Source: RNAcentral